Molecule: ribosomal RNA, 253 nt
Filed under: uncultured bacterium
Lineage: Bacteria
Description: partial 16S ribosomal RNA
Rfam family: Bacterial small subunit ribosomal RNA
Source: RNAcentral
UACGAAGGGGGCUAGCGUUGCUCGGAAUCACUGGGCUUAAAGGGCGCGUAGGCGGCCCGACAAGUCAGGGGUGAAAGCCCCCAGCUCAACUGGGGAAGUGCCUUUGAUACUGUCGGGCUCGAGGGAGGCAGGGGUGAUGGGAACUUCCGGUGGAGCGGUGAAAUGCGUUGAUAUCGGAAGGAACGCCGGUGGCGAAAGCGAAUCACUGGUCCUCUUCUGACGCUGAGGCGCGAAAGCCAGGGGAGCAAACGGG